GACUCCGUAGCUCAACGGCAGAGCAGCGGACUUUUAAUCCGUUGGUUCUGGGUUCGAAUCCCAGCGGGGUCA
RNAcentral lists this transfer RNA (72 nucleotides) under Planctomycetaceae bacterium. RNAcentral describes it as "tRNA-Lys". It matches the Rfam family "tRNA". From Rfam's summary of the family: Transfer RNA (tRNA) molecules are approximately 80 nucleotides in length. The record is from RNAcentral. Lineage: Bacteria; Pseudomonadati; Planctomycetota; Planctomycetia; Planctomycetales; Planctomycetaceae.